UGAGAAUAAUCCCCGAUAGACCACAAUGCCUGGAAUGGCUUGUGGUUGAAAUGAUUUAUCGCCAUAGGAUGGGACUGCGGCCUAUCAGCUAGUUGGUGAGGUAAUGGCCCACCAAGGCUAUAACAGGUACGGGCUCUGAGAGGAGGGGCCCGGAGAUGGGUACUGAGACACGGACCCAGGCCCUAUGGGGCGCAGCAGGCGAGAAACCUUUGCAAUGUGCGAAAGCACGACAAGGUUAAUCCGAGUGUCUUCUGCUAAAGAAGUCUUUUGUUAGUCAUAGAACCACUGAUGAAUAAGGGGUGGGCAAGUUCUGGUGUCAGCCGCCGCGGUAAAACCAGCACCUCGAGUGGUCAGGAGGUUUAUUGGGCCUAAAGCAUCCGUAGCCGGUUGUUUAAGUUUCCGGUUAAAUCUAUACGCUUAACGUAUAGGCUGCCGAAAAUACUGGACAGCUAGGGAGUGGGAGAGGUACACGGUACUCAAUAGGAAGGGGUAAAAUCCUUUGAUCUGUUGAUGACCACCUGUGGCGAAGGCGGUGUACCAGAACACGUUCGACGGUGAGGGAUGAAAGCUGGGGGAGCAAACCGGAUUAGAUACCCGGGUAGUCCCAGCUGUAAACGAUGC
Molecule: ribosomal RNA, 621 nt
Filed under: uncultured archaeon
Lineage: Archaea
Description: bacterial SSU rRNA
Rfam family: Archaeal small subunit ribosomal RNA
Source: RNAcentral